RNAcentral lists this ribosomal RNA (1491 nucleotides) under uncultured bacterium. Its description in RNAcentral is "bacterial SSU rRNA". It matches the Rfam family "Bacterial small subunit ribosomal RNA". The record is from RNAcentral.
AGAGUUUGAUCCUGGCUCAGAUUGAACGCUGGCGGCAUGCUUUACACAUGCAAGUCGAACGGUAACGGGGGCUUCGGCCUGCCGACGAGUGGCGGACGGGUGAGUAAGACAUCGGAAUCUGUCUUCAAGUGGGGGACAACCCGGGGAAACCCGGGCUAAUACCGCAUAUACUCUUAGGAGGAAAGCUGGGGACCGCAAGGCCUGGUGCUUGAAGGGGAGCCGAUGCCCGAUUAGCUAGUUGGUAGGGUAACGGCCUACCAAGGCGACGAUCGGUAGCUGGUCUGAGAGGAUGGCCAGCCACACGGGGACUGAGACACGGCCCCGACUCCUACGGGAGGCAGCAGUGGGGAAUCUUGGACAAUGGGGGCAACCCUGAUCCAGCAAUGCCGCGUGGGUGAAGAAGGCCUUUGGGUUGUAAAGCCCUUUCGGCAGGGAAGAAGGCGUUGGAGCUGAACAGGCUUUGACGUUUGACGGUACCUGCAGAAGAAGCACCGGCUAACUACGUGCCAGCAGCCGCGGUAAUACGUAGGGUGCGAGCGUUAAUCGGAAUGACUGGGCGUAAAGGGUGCGCAGGCGGUUCUGCAAGUCUGAUGUGAAAGCCCCGGGCUUAACCUGGGAAUGGCAUUGGAAACUGUGGGACUAGAGUGUGGUAGAGGAAGGUGGAAUUCCUGGUGUAGCGGUGAAAUGCGUAGAUAUCAGGAGGAACACCGAUGGCGAAGGCAGCCUUCUGGGCCACAACUGACGCUGAGGCGCGAAAGCGUGGGGAGCAAACAGGAUUAGAUACCCUGGUAGUCCACGCCCUAAACGACGAAUGUUAGUCGUCGGGUAGCUAGUCUAUUCGGUGAUGCAGCUAACGCAUUAAACAUUCCGCCUGGGGAGUACGGUCGCAAGAUUAAAACUCAAAGGAAUAGACGGGGACCCGCACAAGUGGUGGAGCAUGUGGUUUAAUUCGAAGAUACGCGAAGAACCUUACCUAGCCUUGACAUAUUUUAGAACACUUUAGAGAUAGAGUGGUGCCUUCGGGAGCUAAUAUACAGGUGCUGCACGGCUGUCGUCAGCUCGUGUCGUGAGAUGUUGGGUUAAGUCCCGCAACGAGCGCAACCCUCGUCACUAGUUACUAACGGUUCGGCCGAGGACUCUAGUGAGACUGCCUUCGCAAGGAGGAGGAAGGUGAGGACGACGUCAAGUCAUCAUGGCCCUUACGGCUAGGGCAACACACGUGCUACAAUGGCCAGGACAAUGAGAAGCAAUACCGCGAGGUGGAGCAAAUCUAUAAACCUGGUCUCAGUUCGGAUUGUUCUCUGCAACUCGAGAGCAUGAAGCUGGAAUCACUAGUAAUCGUAGAUCAGCUAUGCUACGGUGAAUACGUUCCCGGGUCUUGUACUCACCGCCCGUCACACCAUGGGAGUUGAUUUCACCCGAAGCGGGGAAGCUAAACUGGCUACCCUCCACGGUGGAAUCAGCGACUGGGGUGAAGUCGAACAAGGUACC